UUGAUAACUAUUUAACAUUAC
RNAcentral lists this non-coding RNA (21 nucleotides) under Caenorhabditis elegans. The record is from RNAcentral. Lineage: Eukaryota; Metazoa; Nematoda; Chromadorea; Rhabditida; Rhabditidae.